Molecule: ribosomal RNA, 492 nt
Filed under: uncultured bacterium
Lineage: Bacteria
Description: partial 16S ribosomal RNA
Rfam family: Bacterial small subunit ribosomal RNA
Source: RNAcentral
AGUGAACGCUGGCGGUAGGCCUAACACAUGCAAGUCGAACGGCAGCACAGUAAGAGCUUGCUCUUACGGGUGGGGAGUGGCGGACGGGUGAGGAAUACAUCGGAAUCUACUUUUUCGUGGGGGAUAACGUAGGGAAACUUACGCUAAUACCGCAUACGACCUACGGGUGAAAGCAGGGGAUCUUCGGACCUUGCGCGAUUGAAUGAGCCGAUGUCGGAUUAGCUAGUUGGCGGGGUAAAGGCCCACCAAGGCGACGAUCCGUAGCUGGUCUGAGAGGAUGGUCGGCCACACUGGAACUGAGACACCGUCCAGACUCCUGCGGGAGGGAGCAGUGGGGAAUGUUGGACAAUGGGCGCAAGCCUGGUCCAGCCAUACCGCGUGGGUGAAGAAGGCCUUCGGGUUGGAAAGCCCUUUUGUUGGGAAAGAAAAGCAGCAGGUUAAUACCCCGCUGUUCUGACGGUACCCAAAGAAUAAGCACCGGCUAACUUCGUG